GGCAGGGUGCCGGGUACCACCUGAGCCUCCGGUCUUUGCUCUUGAGGCAGAGGCUGGAGGUGGGUGGCACCUGCUGGUAUGGCAGCAUCUGCUGCCCGGUUCAGAGUCAGAGCCCGGCCUCCACCCAGAUUGUGAAAAAAAAAUGGCAACACUUAACUAUUUCUGUGGAAAAAGACAAGAGUCCUCCAUAGGAUCACUAGAGUCACACACCCUUUGUGAACUCAGCUCCCAGAGCAAAAGGUUCUGCUUGCCUAGAAGUUUUGGUUCCAGAAAGGGGAGUGCUCUUACCAGCAGCCACAACAAACAUUCUAUUGAGCUAGAAGCUCAGACUUCCCCCUGGGCAUUUUGGGCUUCUAUGUCCUUAAACCAACAGGAUAAGAAAGGAAUAUCAGUGUUAGGAGGGGUGAUAGAUCCAGAUUACCAUGGGGAAAUUGGACUGCCUCUCCACAACGGAGGUCUCGCUAUAGAAGCUGAGCCAACUUCCAACUUGGAUCCUCUUGCCUAGCCUCCCCAGUGCUGGAAUUGAUUAUAAGCAAACACUACUACAAAUGGUUCAAAACUUAAAGAAUGGACACCAAUUUGCUUUAUAUUAAUCUUCAUCAUAAAA
Molecule: long non-coding RNA, 607 nt
Filed under: Mus pahari (shrew mouse)
Lineage: Eukaryota; Metazoa; Chordata; Mammalia; Rodentia; Muridae
Description: lncRNA (MGP_PahariEiJ_G0002994.1)
Source: RNAcentral